This 116-nucleotide ribosomal RNA is filed under the name Bacillus cereus. The record is from RNAcentral. RNAcentral also lists the same sequence under 1 other name. Lineage: Bacteria; Bacillati; Bacillota; Bacilli; Caryophanales; Bacillaceae.
UUUGGUGAUGAUGGCAGAGAGGUCACACCCGUUCCCAUACCGAACACGGAAGUUAAGCUCUCUAGCGCCGAUGGUAGUUGGGACCUUAUCCCUGUGAGAGUAGGACGUCGCCAAGC